This 403-nucleotide ribosomal RNA is filed under the name bacterium. RNAcentral describes it as "partial 16S ribosomal RNA". It matches the Rfam family "Bacterial small subunit ribosomal RNA", at positions 355 to 776 of the family's 1533-position model. The record is from RNAcentral.
UGGGGAAUAUUGCACAAUGGGGGAAACCCUGAUGCAGCGACGCCGCGUGAACGAAGAAGGUAUUCGUAUCGUAAAGUUCUGUCCUAUGGGAAGAUAAUGACAGUACCAUAGAAGAAAGCUUCGGCUAAAUACGUGCCAGCAGCCGCGGUAAUACGUAUGGAGCGAGCGUUGUCCGGAAUUAUUGGGCGUAAAGGGUACGCAGGCGGUUUAAUAAGUCGAAUGUUAAAGAUCGGGGCUCAACCCCGCAAAGCAUUGGAAACUGAUAAACUUGAGUAGUGGAGAGGAAAGUGGAAUUCCUAGUGUAGUGGUGAAAUACGUAGAUAUUAGGAGGAAUACCAGUAGCGAAGGCGACGUUCUGGACACAAACUGACGCUGAGGUACGAAAGCGUGGGGAGCAAACAGG